RNAcentral lists this ribosomal RNA (512 nucleotides) under uncultured bacterium. RNAcentral's name for it is "partial 16S ribosomal RNA". It matches the Rfam family "Bacterial small subunit ribosomal RNA", at positions 28 to 523 of the family's 1533-position model. The record is from RNAcentral.
GACGAACGCUGGCGGCGUGCCUAAUACAUGCAAGUCGAGCGAACUUGCGGGAGCUUGCUCCCAAAAGUUAGCGGCGGACGGGUGAGUAACACGUGGGCAACCUGCCUAUAAGACUGGGAUAACUUCGGGAAACCGGAGCUAAUACCGGAUAAUUCUUUUCUACACAUGUAGAAAAGCUAAAAGACGGUUUACGCUGUCGCUUAUAGAUGGGCCCGCGGCGCAUUAGCUAGUUGGUGAGGUAAUGGCUCACCAAGGCCACGAUGCGUAGCCGACCUGAGAGGGUGAUCGGCCACACUGGGACUGAGACACGGCCCAGACUCCGACGGGAGGCAGCAGUAGGGAAUCUUCCGCAAUGGACGAAAGUCUGACGGAGCAACGCCGCGUGAGUGAUGAAGGUUUUCGGAUCGUAAAACUCUGUUGUUAGGGAAGAACAAGUACGAGAGUAACUGCUCGUACCUUGACGGUACCUAACCAGAAAGCCACGGCUAACUACGUGCCAGCAGCCGCGGUAA